GCAAGCGCUCCCCGAAUCCACGGGGAGACGUCCAUGGACGAUCCAUUCCCGAAUCCACGGUGUAACAUCCCAAAAUUUCAAAAAAAUUCAUGUACAUUGCAUCCAUGAGCAUCAUGCCACAAUUGCAUAUUUGAAUUCAAAUUUGGAUCUCAAAAGGCUUUGGAAAUAUUUUAUUUCAAUUUAAACCCUAGGGUUUACACCCAUUUGAACUUGGGAUCUUCAAACCAAUAUGGUUUAUUUAUAAAAGGGGUUUAUUGCAUAAAUAAGCUAUCCCAUAAUUUUUGGAUAAUUAUUUGGAGUUGAAAACGUAUUUUAUUUAAAUAGUUAUAUAGCCCUAAAGGCAUUUAUAGGGAAAAUAUAUUUUUAUAUAUUUUAUUUUGAGGAGAAAUUGCUCCAAAAAGUUGAAUCAUGAUAAAACAUGAUUUUACAAAUUUUCUGGAAUUAAUUUGGGCCAAUUUGGAGUUCAAAAUCAAAAGAUAUCAAAGAAAUGAGAAAAGGGAAAAAAGAAGAGAAGAAAAAAAAGAGAAAACCGGACCAGUCCGACCGGUUGGGCCGAACCAGCCCAGUCCCGACCACGCCCGAGCUGAACCGAGCCAGCCCGGUCCACAUGCGCGCCCGCAGUCACUGACAGGUGGGGCCCUCCUGUCAGCUGCUUCGUCUCCCCGAAGGAAAGCUCCGCCAUGUCCGCGCCGCCUGCCGUUUUCGCUGCCGCGCCGUCUCCACUG
RNAcentral lists this long non-coding RNA (725 nucleotides) under Brachypodium distachyon (stiff brome). Its description in RNAcentral is "long non-coding RNA (BDIS_LNC004508)". The record is from RNAcentral. Lineage: Eukaryota; Viridiplantae; Streptophyta; Magnoliopsida; Poales; Poaceae.